GGGGAAUUUUCCGCAAUGGGCGAAAGCCUGACGGAGCAACGCCGCGUGAGGGAGGAAGGCUCUUGCGGUUGUAAACCUCUUUUCUCAAGGAAGAUAAUGACGGUACUUGAGGAAUCAGCAUCGGCUAACUCCGUGCCAGUAGCCGCGGUAAUACGGAGGAUGCAAGCGUUAUCCGGAAUAAUUGGGCGUAAAGCGUUCGUAGGUGGUUUUGUAAGUCUGCUGUUAAAGCGUGUAGCUUAACUACAUGUAGGCGGUGGAAACUACAAGACUUGAGUGCGUUCGGGGUAGAGGGAAUUCCUGGNUGUAGCGGUGAAAUGCGUAUAGAUCAGGAAGAACACCGGUGGCGAAGGCGCUCUACUAGACCGCAACUGACACUGAGGGACGAAAGCUAGGGGAGCGAAUGGGAUUAGAUACCCCAGUAGUC
This 424-nucleotide ribosomal RNA is filed under the name uncultured cyanobacterium. RNAcentral's name for it is "bacterial SSU rRNA". It matches the Rfam family "Bacterial small subunit ribosomal RNA", at positions 356 to 795 of the family's 1533-position model. Lineage: Bacteria; Bacillati; Cyanobacteriota. The record is from RNAcentral.